UAUCUGUGUGACCCAAACCACGGGUGUUGUUUGGUUGUCAACUAAAAGAAGUUAAAAGGUAAACAUGGCAUCCAUGAAAGCUGAGAAACCAGCAGGCCCACAGACGCUCUUCGGGCAGCCCAAGAAGGAGCAGGCCAAAGCCAAUGAAGGCGCAUCACACUCCUCAAAACCAGCUCCAAAGAAAGCAGAGCAGAAGCCCCGGGAGCCCAAGAAGAAGGCAAAAGGUGGAAAACCAGCAUCCAAGCACUGAAAGUGGACGCCCUCUCCUCUCAAGUUGGUCACCGUGCGUGUUAUAGCCAUGUAACCUUGCACAUGUAGCAGCAUAGUCCAGCUUAUGAAAUAAUCAACAGGUUAUCCAGUUCAUUCUGGUUGAUAAUUA
This is a long non-coding RNA of Nymphaea colorata (pocket water lily), 379 nucleotides long. RefSeq lists it as uncharacterized. The record is from RefSeq and is a predicted model, not a curated record. The transcript is spliced from 2 exons. NCBI's taxonomy places the organism in Eukaryota, Viridiplantae, Streptophyta, Magnoliopsida, Nymphaeales, Nymphaeaceae.